GACGAACGCUGGCGGCGUGCUUAACACAUGCAAGUCGAACGGUAGGCCCUUCGGGGUACACGAGUGGCGAACGGGUGAGUAACACGUGGGUGAUCUGCCCUGCACUUCGGGAUAAGCCUGGGAAACUGGGUCUAAUACCGGAUAGGACCACUGCCUGCAUGGGUGGUGGUGGAAAGCUUUUGCGGGGUGGGAUGGGCCCGCGGCCUAUCAGCUUGUUGGUGGGGUGAUGGCCUACCAAGGCGACGACGGGUAGCCGGCCUGAGAGGGUGACCGGCCACCCUGGGACUGAGAUACGGCCCAGGCUCCUACGGGAGGGAGCAGUGGGGAAUAUUGCACAAUGGGCGCAAGCCUGAUGCAGCGACGCCGCGUGGGGGAUGACGGCCUUCGGGUUGUAAACCUCUUUCAGCACCGACGAAGCGCAAGUGACGGUAGGUGCAGAAGAAGGACCGGCCAACUACGUGCCAGCAGCCGCGGUAA
Molecule: ribosomal RNA, 477 nt
Filed under: uncultured bacterium
Lineage: Bacteria
Description: partial 16S ribosomal RNA
Rfam family: Bacterial small subunit ribosomal RNA
Source: RNAcentral